Molecule: microRNA precursor, 103 nt
Filed under: Marmota monax (woodchuck)
Lineage: Eukaryota; Metazoa; Chordata; Mammalia; Rodentia; Sciuridae
Source: RNAcentral
AGUGGAAUAGCUGGGUCAAAAGGUGGUUCUAUUCCAAGUUUACUAAGGAAUCUCCAUACUGCUUUCCAGAUUGGUUGCACCAAUUUGCAGUCCUACCAGCAAU